GCAUCCAUGGCUGAAUGGUUAAAGCACCCAACUCAUAAAUAACUAAUUCGUAGGUUCAAUUCCUACUGGAUGCA
Molecule: non-coding RNA, 74 nt
Organism: Gossypium raimondii (Peruvian cotton)
Lineage: Eukaryota; Viridiplantae; Streptophyta; Magnoliopsida; Malvales; Malvaceae
Source: Rfam